AGUGAACGCUGGCGGUAGGCCUAACACAUGCAAGUCGAACGGCAGCACAGUAAGCGCUCGCUCUUACGGGUGCCGAGUGGCGGAUGGGUGAGGAAUACAUCGGCAUCUACUUUUUCUUGGUGGACAACGUAGGGAAACAUACGCUAAUACCGCAUCCGACCUACGGGUGAAAGCAGGGGAUCUUCGGACCUUGGGCGAUUGAAUGAGCCGAUGUCGGAUUAGCUAGUUGGCGGGGUAAAGGCCCACCAAGGCGACGAUCCGUAGCUGGUCUGAGAGGAUGAUCAGCCACACUGGAACUGAGACACGGUCCAGACUCCUACGGGAGGCAGCAGUGGGGAAUAUUGGACAAUGGGCGCAAGCCUGAUCCAGCCAUACCGCGUGGGUGAAGAAGGCCUUCGGGUUGUAAAGCCCUUUUGUUAGGAAAGAAAAGCAGCGGGUUAAUACCCCGCUGUUCUGACGGUACCCAAAGAAUAAGCACCGGCUAACUUCGUG
RNAcentral lists this ribosomal RNA (492 nucleotides) under uncultured bacterium. RNAcentral's name for it is "partial 16S ribosomal RNA". It matches the Rfam family "Bacterial small subunit ribosomal RNA", at positions 29 to 507 of the family's 1533-position model. The record is from RNAcentral.